This 478-nucleotide ribosomal RNA is filed under the name uncultured bacterium. RNAcentral describes it as "partial 16S ribosomal RNA". It matches the Rfam family "Bacterial small subunit ribosomal RNA", at positions 28 to 523 of the family's 1533-position model. The record is from RNAcentral.
GACGAACGCUGGCGGCGUGCUUAACACAUGCAAGUCGAACGGUAAGGCCCUUCGGGGUACACGAGUGGCGAACGGGUGAGUAACACGUGGGUGAUCUGCCCUGCACUUCGGGAUAAGCCUGGGAAACUGGGUCGAAUACCGGAUAGGACCACUGCCUGCACGGGUGGGGGGGGAAAGCUUUUGCGGUGUGGGAUGGGCCCGCGGCCUAUCAGCUUGUUGGUGGGGUGAUGGCCUACCAAGGCGACGACGGGUAGCCGGCCUGAGAGGGUGACCGGCCACACUGGGACUGAGAUACGGCCCAGACUCCUACGGGAGGCAGCAGUGGGGAAUAUUGCACAAUGGGCGCAAGCCUGAUGCAGCGACGCCGCGUGAGGGAUGACGGCCUUCGGGUUGUAAACCUCUUUCAGCACCGACGAAGCGCAAGUGACGGUAGGUGCAGAAGAAGGACCGGCCAACUACGUGCCAGCAGCCGCAGUAA